AUGCAGUCGAGCGGUAGCACGGGGGAGCUUGCUCCCUGGGUGACGAGCGGCGGACGGGUGAGUAAUGUCUGGGAAACUGCCUGAUGGAGGGGGAUAACUACUGGAAACGGUAGCUAAUACCGCAUAACGUCGCAAGACCAAAGAGGGGGACCUUCGGGCCUCUUGCCAUCAGAUGUGCCCAGAUGGGAUUAGCUAGUAGGUGGGGUAAUGGCUCACCUAGGCGACGAUCCCUAGCUGGUCUGAGAGGAUGACCAGCCACACUGGAACUGAGACACGGUCCAGACUCCUACGGGAGGCAGCAGUGGGGAAUAUUGCACAAUGGGCGCAAGCCUGAUGCAGCCAUGCCGCGUGUGUGAAGAAGGCCUUCGGGUUGUAAAGCACUUUCAGCGAGGAGGAAGGUGGUGAGCUUAAUACGCUCAUCAAUUGACGUUACUCGCAGAAGAAGCACCGGCUAACUCCGUGCCAGCAGCCGCGGUAAUACGGAGGGUGCAAGCGUUAAUCGGAAUUACUGGGCGUAAAGCGCACGCAGGCGGUUUGUUAAGUCAGAUGUGAAAUCCCCGGGCUCAACCUGGGAACUGCAUUUGAAACUGGCAAGCUAGAGUCUCGUAGAGGGGGGUAGAAUUCCAGGUGUAGCGGUGAAAUGCGUAGAGAUCUGGAGGAAUACCGGUGGCGAAGGCGGCCCCCUGGACGAAGACUGACGCUCAGGUGCGAAAGCGUGGGGGAGCAGACAGGAUUAGAUACCCUGGUAGUCCACGCUGUAAACGAUGUCGAUUUGGAGGUUGUGCCCUUGAGGCGUGGCUUCCGGAGCUAACGCGUUAAAUCGACCGCCUGGGGAGUACGGCCGCAAGGUUAAAACUCAAAUGAAUUGACGGGGGCCCGCACAAGCGGUGGAGCAUGUGGUUUAAUUCGAUGCAACGCGAAGAACCUUACCUACUCUUGACAUCCAGAGAACUUUCCAGAGAUGGAUUGGUGCCUUCGGGAACUCUGAGACAGGUGCUGCAUGGCUGUCGUCAGCUCGUGUUGUGAAAUGUUGGGUUAAGUCCCGCAACGAGCGCAACCCUUAUCCUUUGUUGCCAGCGGUUCGGCCGGGAACUCAAAGGAGACUGCCAGUGAUAAACUGGAGGAAGGUGGGGAUGACGUCAAGUCAUCAUGGCCCUUACGAGUAGGGCUACACACGUGCUACAAUGGCGUAUACAAAGAGAAGCGACCUCGCGAGAGCAAGCGGACCUCAUAAAGUACGUCGUAGUCCGGAUUGGAGUCUGCAACUCGACUCCAUGAAGUCGGAAUCGCUAGUAAUCGUAGAUCAGAAUGCUACGGUGAAUACGUUCCCGGGCCUUGUACACACCGCCCGUCACACCAUGGGAGUGGGUUGCAAAAGAAGUAGGUAGCUUAACCUUCGGGAGGGCGCU
RNAcentral lists this ribosomal RNA (1409 nucleotides) under Serratia marcescens. RNAcentral describes it as "bacterial SSU rRNA". It matches the Rfam family "Bacterial small subunit ribosomal RNA". The record is from RNAcentral. Lineage: Bacteria; Pseudomonadati; Pseudomonadota; Gammaproteobacteria; Enterobacterales; Yersiniaceae.